Molecule: ribosomal RNA, 443 nt
Filed under: uncultured bacterium
Lineage: Bacteria
Description: partial 16S ribosomal RNA
Rfam family: Bacterial small subunit ribosomal RNA
Source: RNAcentral
CCUACGGGUGGCAGCAGUGGGGAAUAUUGGGCAAUGGGCGCAAGCCUGACCCAGCAACGCCGCGUGAAGGAAGAAGGCUUUCGGGUUGUAAACUUCUUUUGUCAGGGACGAAGCAAGUGACGGUACCUGACGAAUAAGCCACGGCUAACUACGUGCCAGCAGCCGCGGUAAUACGUAGGUGGCAAGCGUUAUCCGGAUUUACUGGGUGUAAAGGGCGUGUAGGCGGGACUGCAAGUCAGAUGUGAAAACCACGGGCUCAACCUGUGGCCUGCAUUUGAAACUGUAGUUCUUGAGUACUGGAGAGGCAGACGGAAUUCCUAGUGUAGCGGUGAAAUGCGUAGAUAUUAGGAGGAACACCGGUGGCGUAAGCGCUUUACUGGGCCGUAAUUGACGCUGAGGAACGAAAGCCAGGGUAGCAAAUGGGAUUAGAUACCCGGGUAGUC